This 464-nucleotide ribosomal RNA is filed under the name Vreelandella stevensii. RNAcentral describes it as "partial 16S ribosomal RNA". It matches the Rfam family "Bacterial small subunit ribosomal RNA", at positions 338 to 795 of the family's 1533-position model. Lineage: Bacteria; Pseudomonadati; Pseudomonadota; Gammaproteobacteria; Oceanospirillales; Halomonadaceae. The record is from RNAcentral.
CCUACGGGAGCUGCAGUCGGGAAUAUUGGACAAUGGGCGAAAGCCUGAUCCAGCCAUGCCGCGUGUGUGAAGAAGGCCUUCGGGUUGUAAAGCACUUUCAGUGGGGAAGAAAGCCUUGGGGCUAAUACCCUCGAGGAAGGACAUCACCCACAGAAGAAGCACCGGCUAACUCCGUGCCAGCAGCCGCGGUAAUACGGAGGGUGCGAGCGUUAAUCGGAAUUACUGGGCGUAAAGCGCGCGUAGGCGGUCUGAUAAGCCGGUUGUGAAAGCCCCGGGCUCAACCUGGGAACGGCAUCCGGAACUGUCAGGCUAGAGUGCAGGAGAGGAAGGUAGAAUUCCCGGUGUAGCGGUGAAAUGCGUAGAGAUCGGGAGGAAUACCAGUGGCGAAGGCGGCCUUCUGGACUGACACUGACGCUGAGGUGCGAAAGCGUGGGUAGCAAACAGGAUUAGAUACCCCUGUAGUC